This 494-nucleotide long non-coding RNA is filed under the name Bos indicus x Bos taurus (hybrid cattle). RNAcentral describes it as "lncRNA (ENSBIXG00000025474.1)". Lineage: Eukaryota; Metazoa; Chordata; Mammalia; Artiodactyla; Bovidae. The record is from RNAcentral.
GAGGUGUUUCUAUUCCUGUUUUACAGAUGGGGAAAAUGAAGUUCGAAGCAGGCUGUCCUGACUACAAGAUGCCGUAUUGUUUCUGAGAUGCCACCAUGGUGGUUGCCUCUUGGCUCAGUGCCAGCUCACUCCAGGAGUGGAGAUGAGUUCCCAGGUUCCACAUCACUCAACACCAUGCCACACGUCGUGUGUGCUCUGCAAAUAGCUCUUGGUGGUAGAGAACCAGACCAGCUGCAUAUACCUGCUGCUGCUACUGCUAAGUCACUUCAGUCGUGUCCGACUCUGUGUGACCCCAUAGACGUCAGCCCAUCAGGCUUUCCCGCCCCUGGGAUUCUCCAGGUAAGAACACUGGAGUAGUUUGCCACUUCCUUCUCCAAUGCAUGAAAGUGAAAAGUGAAAGUGAAGUCACUCAGUUGUGUCCGACUUCUAGCAACCCCAUGGACUGCAGCCCACCAGGCUCCAUCAUCCAUGGGAUUUUCCAGGCAAGAGUACUA